RNAcentral lists this small RNA (74 nucleotides) under Sinorhizobium meliloti 2011. Its description in RNAcentral is "putative ncRNA". Lineage: Bacteria; Pseudomonadati; Pseudomonadota; Alphaproteobacteria; Hyphomicrobiales; Rhizobiaceae. The record is from RNAcentral.
AUCGAAAAGGGACUCGACAUCGACAAAGCCGCCGGAACGGGUCGUGUGCACCUUGUCCGGCCGGCUGAGGGUCA